RNAcentral lists this ribosomal RNA (253 nucleotides) under uncultured bacterium. Its description in RNAcentral is "partial 16S ribosomal RNA". It matches the Rfam family "Bacterial small subunit ribosomal RNA", at positions 524 to 776 of the family's 1533-position model. The record is from RNAcentral.
UACGUAGGGUGCAAGCGUUGUCCGGAAUUAUUGGGCGUAAAGAGCUCGUAGGCGGUUUGUCGCGUCGAAUGUGAAAACCCGGGGCUCAACCCCGGGCCUGCAUUCGAUACGGGCAGACUAGAGUUCGGUAGGGGAGUCUGGAAUUCCUGGUGUAGCGGUGAAAUGCGUAGAUAUCUGGAGGAACACCGGUGGCGAAGGCGGCAUCCUGGACCAAUACUGACGCUGAGGAGCGAAAGCCAGGGGAGCAAACGGG